RNAcentral lists this ribosomal RNA (468 nucleotides) under uncultured bacterium. Its description in RNAcentral is "bacterial SSU rRNA". It matches the Rfam family "Bacterial small subunit ribosomal RNA", at positions 28 to 508 of the family's 1533-position model. The record is from RNAcentral.
GACGAACGCUGGCGGCGUGCUUAACACAUGCAAGUCGAACGAUGAUGCCCAGCUUGCUGGGUUGAUUAGUGGCGAACGGGUGAGUAACACGUGAGUAACCUGCCCCUGACUCUGGGAUAAGCGUUGGAAACGACGUCUAAUACUGGAUAUGAUCGCCGGCCGCAUGGUCUGGUGGUGGAAAGAUUUUUUGGUUGGGGAUGGACUCGCGGCCUAUCAGCUUGUUGGUGAGGUAAUGGCUCACCAAGGCGACGACGGGUAGCCGGCCUGAGAGGGUGACCGGCCACACUGGGACUGAGACACGGCCCAGACUCCUACGGGAGGCAGCAGUGGGGAAUAUUGCACAAUGGGCGAAAGCCUGAUGCAGCAACGCCGCGUGAGGGAUGACGGCCUUCGGGUUGUAAACCUCUUUUAGUAGGGAAGAAGCGAAAGUGACGGUACCUGCAGAAAAAGCACCGGCUAACUACGUGC